Long non-coding RNA from Oreochromis niloticus (Nile tilapia), 454 nucleotides. RefSeq lists it as uncharacterized. Lineage: Eukaryota; Metazoa; Chordata; Actinopteri; Cichliformes; Cichlidae. The record is from RefSeq and is a predicted model, not a curated record. The transcript is spliced from 3 exons.
AGGGAGUCCCUCCCUCUAAAAGCACUCUGUGUGGGGAACAUGAGAGCCAGACCAAAGCUCAGAGGAACCCACCUGGACCUCCACCCAACUCUGUGUCCUUACAGAGUGACUGCUCUAAAGAUCAUCCCAUUAAUUUUAAAUCCCAGCAGGCAUAUGCUGCAGAGAGUCUGUUCCAGGAAGUACACCAGAUGUCCCAAAGAUAAGCGACAGCGAAGGCGAGCUGAGGGGAAGCACCUGGGUUCGAGCCGAAGACGAUGACUGUGUUCAAAGUUAACUGAACGUGUGUGGUUUUGCAUUGACGUAUGCUGUAUUAAAUCUGCCUAGCAACAGAAGAGGGGGCGGUACAAUUCUCACCUCUAUAAAGUCUUUGUUUUGACUUUUGUAAGACAGUUCAAUACUGAUUGGGUUGUUGAACUCACACAUGUGUAAUUCAUUAAAAUGCUGUCUAAUUGCA